CGCGUAGGCGGUUUUUUUAAGUCAGAUGUGUAAUCCCCGAGCUCAACUUGGGAACUGCAUCUGAGACUGGAAGGCUAGAGUACUGGAGAGGGUGGUGGAAUUCCUCGUGUAGCGGUGAAAUGCGUAGAGAUGAGGAGGAACACCAGUGGCGAAGGCGGCCACCUGGACAGUAACUGACGCUGAGGCGCGAAAGUGUGGGUAGCAAACAGGAUUAGAUACCCUGGUAGUCCACGCUGUAAACGAUGAACACUUGGUGUGGAGGGAGUUGACCCCUUCCGUGCCGGAGCUAACGCGUUAAGUGUUCCGCCUGGGGAGUACGGUCGCAAGGCUGAA
Molecule: ribosomal RNA, 333 nt
Filed under: uncultured bacterium
Lineage: Bacteria
Description: bacterial SSU rRNA
Rfam family: Bacterial small subunit ribosomal RNA
Source: RNAcentral